Molecule: ribosomal RNA, 252 nt
Filed under: uncultured bacterium
Lineage: Bacteria
Description: partial 16S ribosomal RNA
Rfam family: Bacterial small subunit ribosomal RNA
Source: RNAcentral
UACGGAGGAUGCGAGCGUUAUCCGGAUUUAUUGGGUUUAAAGGGUGCGUAGGCGGGUUAUCAAGUCAGCGGUAAAAUCGUGGAGCUCAACUCCAUCCAGCCGUUGAAACUGAUGAUCUUGAGUGGGCGAGAAGUAUGCGGAACGCGUGGUGUAGCGGUGAAAUGCAUAGAUAUCACGCAGAACCCCGAUUGCGAAGGCAGCAUACCGGUGCACAACUGACGCUCAGGCACGAAAGCGUGGGUAUCGAACAGG